AGCAGCCGCGGUAAUUCCAGCUCCAAUAGCGUAUAUUAAAGUUGUUGCAGUUAAAAAGCUCGUAGUUGAAUUUCGGGAUCAAGGAAUCGGUCAUGCCUCGGUAUGUACUGGUUUUAUUGGUUCUCACCUUCUAAAGAACCAUAAUGUCAUUCAUUUGAUGUUAUGGGGAAUUAGGACUGUUACCUUGAAAAAUUAGAGUAUUUAAAGCAGGCUUACGCUUGAAUACAUUAGCAUGGAAUAAUGAAAUAGGACAUCAGAUUCAUUUUGUUGGUUUCUAGGAUCGAUGUAAUGAUUAAUAGGGAUAGUUGGGGCAUUAG
This 317-nucleotide ribosomal RNA is filed under the name uncultured Glomeromycotina. RNAcentral describes it as "SSU rRNA". It matches the Rfam family "Eukaryotic small subunit ribosomal RNA", at positions 569 to 893 of the family's 1831-position model. The record is from RNAcentral. Lineage: Eukaryota; Fungi; Glomeromycota.